RNAcentral lists this ribosomal RNA (402 nucleotides) under uncultured bacterium. RNAcentral's name for it is "bacterial SSU rRNA". It matches the Rfam family "Bacterial small subunit ribosomal RNA", at positions 362 to 758 of the family's 1533-position model. The record is from RNAcentral.
UAUUGGACAAUGGGCGAAAGCCUGAUCCAGCAAUACCGCGUGUGUGAAGAAGGCCUUAGGGUUGUAAAGCACUUUCAAUUGGGAGGAAAACCUACCGGUCAAUACCCGGUAGCUUGACAUUACCUUUAGAAGAAGCACCGGCUAACUCCGUGCCAGCAGCCGCGGUAAUACGGAGGGUGCGAGCGUUAAUCGGAAUUACUGGGCGUAAAGCGUGCGUAGGCGGUUCGUUAAGUCAGAUGUGAAAGCCCGGGGCUCAACCUGGGAACGGCAUUUGAAACUGGCGGACUAGAGUUUAGUAGAGGGGAGUGGAAUUUCAGGUGUAGCGGUGAAAUGCGUAGAUAUCUGAAGGAACACCAGUGGCGAAGGCGACUCCCUGGACUAGAACUGACGCUGAGUACGAGA